RNAcentral lists this ribosomal RNA (119 nucleotides) under Pteropus alecto (black flying fox). Lineage: Eukaryota; Metazoa; Chordata; Mammalia; Chiroptera; Pteropodidae. The record is from RNAcentral.
GGCUACGGCCAAGCUACCCUGAACAAGCCUGAUCCUGUCUGAUCUUGGAAGCUAAGCAGGGCUGGGCCUGGUUAGUACUUGGAUGGGAGACCACCUAGGAAGACCAGGUGCUGUAGGCG